Molecule: long non-coding RNA, 1518 nt
Filed under: Vulpes vulpes (red fox)
Lineage: Eukaryota; Metazoa; Chordata; Mammalia; Carnivora; Canidae
Description: lncRNA (ENSVVUG00000002680.1)
Source: RNAcentral
AUGCAGCCCACUCGUGAUGCCAGGUCAGCAGAAGGGCCGGUUCAGGCCACUGCGUUAGGCCGGGGGUUGUCACCUACAGUGGCAGGUCGCGGUGACCUCGUGUGCGUUUGUCUGAUUGGUGUCCAUCCCUCCAAAGAGACUGAGCUCUGCGAGCAUCGAACUGUUCUGAUUUUGUUUUACCGUCGGUGUUUGGAGCUCAGCCCAGGACCUGGAACCCAAGGGGCGCCUGGGGAACCAGUGCAACGGGGAGCGGAGGGGAGGCCACAGCCACGGGAGGGCCGCCGGGGCCCAGCGCAGGAGCGCAGGGGAGGGGAGGCCACAGGAACCGGAGGGCCGCCGGGGCCCAUGCAGGAGCAGAGGGCAGGGGAGGCCGCAGGAACGGGAGGGCCGCCGGGCCCGUGCAGGAGCGCAGGGGAGGCCUCAGGAACUGGAGGGCCGCCGGGGGCCCCGCCCAGGAGCAGAGGGGAGAGGAGGCCACAGGAACGGAAGGGCUGCGGGGCCCAGCGCAAGAGCACAGGGGAGGGGAGGCCACAGGAACGGGAGGGCCGCCGGGGCCCCGUGCAGGAGUGCAGGGGAGGCCUCAAGAACGGGAGGGCCACUGGGGCCACGCACAGGAGCAGAGGGGAGGGGAGGCCACAGGAACGGGAGGGCCGCUGGGGCCCAGCGCAGGAGCAGAGGGCAGGGGAGGCCGCAGGAACAGGAGGGCCGCGGGGCCCAGCGCAGGAGCACAGGGGAGGGGAGGCCGCAGGAACGAGAGGGCCGCCAGGGCCCAGCGCAGGAGCAGAGGGCAGGGGAGGCCGCAGGAACGGGAGGGCCGCGGGGCCCAGCGCAGGAGCACAGGGCAGGGGAGGCCGCAGGAACUGGAGGGCCGCGGGGCCCAGCGCAGGAGCAGAGGGGAGGGGAGGCCGCAGGAACCGGAGGGCCGCCGGGGCCUGUGCAGGAGCACAGGGGAGGGGAGGCCGCAGGAACGAGAGGGCCGCCAGGGCCCAGCGCAGGAGCAGAGGGCAGGGGAGGCCGCAGGAACGGGAGGGCCGCGGGGCCCAGCGCAGGAGCACAGGGGAGGGGAGGCCGCAGGAACGGGAGGGCCGCGGGGCCCAGCGCAGGAGCACAGGGCAGGGGAGGCCGCAGGAACCGGAGGGCCGCCGGGGCCUGUGCAGGAGCACAGGGGAGGCCGCAGCCACGGGAGAGCCGCCACGUCCAGGGCAGGCGGUGGAGGGUCCAAGACGAACGUCUGUCGUGGUAAGGCCUCUGGAAUCCAAGGCCAAACGUAGGCGGCCUCUCCCAGGAGCUCAGGGUAGACGAGGGGCGACGAGACGCCACGGAGGGGCAGCCCCGGCGCCGCCGUCAGGGAGGCAGAGCCCUGAGCGCAGGGCUGGCGGCCAGGGCCAGGGCCCGGGAGGCUCAAGGCCAACCUGCGAGCUCCUGCCUCGGGGCUCGCUGCGCAGCAGCCUGGUGGCUGUCACCUCACGGAACUCUCAGGGCCCUCGGGAUGGGGCUCCGUCCUUCCUGUCUUUGUAG